UUAAAACAAAAAAAGCAUCUCCGUUUAUAUUCCAAGAACAAUCAAGAUUUUCUUUAAGAAGGUACUUUCCUCUCCUCAAAGUUUUUAUUUUAAGAACAGGGCAUUCAGAGGUGAGCUGGAUGUUUUGUCAUGUUUAUGAAGUCAUGAAAACAUCUGGAUACAGUAUGGAAACCCUCAACCAAAAACUUUUUGAAGUCUCUGUAAUGUAAUCAUCUGGGCUUACUCCACUAAACUAUGUAUUUAUUGGAUUUGGAUGGAAGAUGAGAUGUGAUGAUACCCACUCUGAUAAGAAUAGCUGUAUUAGAUGGGCCCAAGGGUCCAUCUUGCGCAGCAUCCUGUCUGCAGCUGUGGCCAUGAGUGGAUGCCUGGGAAAGAUGAAGUUCAAGGCCAAAAGAAGCUGGAAAAGAAAGGAGGAAUGCAAACAGAAAUAUACAAGAGUGUGACCAUUGUUGAUAGUGACUUUGUUCUUCAUGUUGGGAAGUUUUCUGCUGUCAGCCCACUUCAGGAUAGCCGGUGACACCUCGUGUUCCCUGCAUACACAAGCUGUUCACUGGGUGCAACACAAUGAGUGAGACCCUCAGUAACCAGAGAAACAGUGAUAGCAACGAAAUGGUGCCAGUUUAUACCAACUCAUCUUUGGUUCUAGGGCUGCUCAACUAUCUGGAUGAGAGGACUCACCACCUUGGAAUUAAAGCUGGGAAAUGCUUUUGGAAAAACAGAAGAUGUGCUGGAUGAGGAUAGUGUUGACCCUCUGGGCUGGCAGGUCACAGCUGAAAUUAACCAUGAGGUAUUUAACACUGAAGUGGAGGAGAAGGCUGAAAGACUAGGAGAGCAACUGCUUGAAAACUGAUGAGCCAAAUGUCUCUUUCCCAAGAGAAGGAUGCUUGGUGAAAUCCUCGGAGGAAGGAGCUGAUUUUACAGAAACAGAGGUGGCCCUAGGAGUUCGAGGGGCUGCUAGGACAGGCUGCUUGCCUACCUGCCUGCUGGAAGCCCUGCACCAGAGGCAGAGGCUGCUCCCUGGAGUAAAGCAGUUUCAGAUUGGUGCCACCAAGAUGCGCAUCUGCCUGACUGAUGAGGAGAGCUGCGCACAAGGGAACCUGCCUGUAUCCAACAGCGAUGACCUGUCCCGCUCCCUCUUCAUUCAACACGUUGUGGGAAGCCGUUUGCUGAUGCUGUUACACCCUUGUUUUCACCAGGAUGGGAAACUAGAGACAUAGGAAAAAUGAGAGUGAAAGCCGUACCGGUCACUAGGAUUGCAGAGCUGCCCACUUUUAAUGUACAGCUCACAGGUCUGGGGUCUGCCCUGAAAUCCCAGUUUGUGGGGAGUCGCCAGUCCUCCUGGGGAAGGAUUCACAGUGACAGCUUCUUUGACCUUUGCCCACUAGGAUAUGGUAAAAUUGAGACACUCGCAUCUCAGAUGAGGUUCCCAGCAGAACACUGGAGCGCUUUCACCCCAGGUUUGGAAGCUAAUUUUCGCUGACUUUGGAAGACAGCGGAGCGGCAGCUAAUGGAAACUCGAACGUCUUUCUCUCUCCCCUGUCUGCUCCUCCGUCUCAGCAGCAAUCGAGAUAAAGGCUCAGCUGCUUCAAGUUUAUCUGCAUCUAUGCUGAAGUACUUGGAUACAGUCCUAAUUUCCAGGAACACCUGGCGUGGAAGACAUCCUUUUCUUUAAACUCUUGACCUUGCAAUGUCAACACUCGCAGUGUAGGGCAUUGCUUUGGCGUGGCAUCGCUGGAAAACCCGCUUUAACUGAAAGAAGCUAGGCAGGUACAUGUAUACAUCUAUAUACUUUCAGACUGGCUUCUUUUACUGAUGUAAUAAAUUUAAU
Long non-coding RNA from Gymnogyps californianus (California condor), 1828 nucleotides. RefSeq lists it as uncharacterized. Lineage: Eukaryota; Metazoa; Chordata; Aves; Accipitriformes; Cathartidae. The transcript has 11 exons. The record is from RefSeq and is a predicted model, not a curated record.